CGUCUUCAAGAUUAAGCCAUGCAUGUCUAAGUGUAAACCACUGGUGAGCUGCGAACAGCUCAAUAUAUCAGUUAUAAUUUACAUAGAGGUAUCGGAUACUUGGAUAACCUUAGUAACUCUGGGGCUAAUACGUGAGUUGUUCCUUACUGGUUAGGAGGGACGUACUUAUUCGUUAUAGACACCGAUCGAGGGGGUAACCCCCUCGUGGGAGAGUGUUGAGAGUGNUGAAACACAGAUAAGUGNCGAAUCNCUAUGUGGUAUGGNAACGCUAGCGAUGCUCUAUGUAAAUUUCUGUCUCAUCAACUUGAUGGUAGGGUAGUGGCCUACCAUGGUCGUGACGGGUAACGGGGAAUUGGCGUUCGAUUCCGGAGAGGGAGNCUGAGAGACGGCUACCACUCCCAAGGGAGGCAGCAGGCGCGCAACUUACCCAAUCCUAACGUAGGGAGGUAGUGACGAAACAUACCGUUGGCUAGGACUUCGUGCUCUAGGCUAUGGAAUGCAUUCAAUCUGAACCUUUGAAUGAUGAUCGAUUGGAGGGCAAGACUGGUGCCAGCAGCCGCGGUAAUACCAGCUCCAAUAGUGUAUACUAGUGUUGUNGCGGUUAAAACGUUCGUANUCGNAUUAGAUGCUAACAAGCUCCUAUGGAGCUUACUGCUACUGNCUCCAGUCACUGAGGUGUNCUUAGCCUCCGAUGUGGUCUAGGCAGACAAGUUACCAUGACAAAAUCUUAGUGUUCAUAGCANGCACGGCGUNCCCUGGACACAAUAGCAUGGGAUGACACCGAGAGGACNUCGACCUGUUAUGCGUUGGCGGCCAGGAUUGNAGGAAUGAUUAACAGGAGCAGUCGGGGGUAGUCGUAUUCCGCUGCUAGAGAUGAAAUUCAUUGACCAGUGGAGGACGNACCACAGCGGAAGCAUCUACCAAGUAUGUUUCCAUUGAUCAAGAACGAAAGUUGGGGUAGCNAAGACGAUUAGGUACCGUCGUAGUCCCAACCGUAAACGAUACCGACUAGGGGUUGGUAGACGUCUUAUUCGAUAGCUCUAUCAGCACCUUAUGAGAAAUCACAAGUCUUUGGGUUCCGGGGGGAGUACGGUCGCAAGGCUGAAACUUAAAGGAAUUGGCGGAAGGGCACCACAAGGCGUGGAGCUUGCGGCUUAAUUUGACACAACGCAGGAAAACUUACCAGGUCCGUACAUAGGGAUGAUUGACAGAUUGAGAGCUCUUUCUUGAUUCUAUGAGAGGUGGUGCAUGGCCGAUUCUAGUUCGUGGGGUGACCUGUGAGGUUAAUUCCGGUAACGAGCAAGACCCUAGCCUCUAGAGAGUGUUNCGGNUGGAUGUGGUNGNCGAAANCCGCACAUNAUCCUAGAGGGACGCUUGAUGAUAAAUCAAGGGAAGUGUGGGGCAAUAACAGGUCUGUGAUACCCUUAGAUGUCCUGGGCUGCACGCGCGCNACAAUGGUACACACAAUGAGGGAUCUACUAACCCGAGAGGGUUGGGUAUCUUGUAACGUGUAUCGUGAUANAGAUAGACCAUUGNAAUUGUUGGUCUUGAACGAGGAAUGCCUAGUAAGCGCGAGUCAUCAACUCGCGCUGAUUACGUCCCUGCCCUUUGUACACACCGCCCGNCGUUCCUGCCAAUGGGUGGAGUGGUGAGAGAAUCGNNCUAGCCCUGAAGGUUGAGNUAGGAAUUCAUCUCGAGCCGUUUCAUCUAAAGGAAGGAGAAGUCGNAANAA
This 1732-nucleotide ribosomal RNA is filed under the name Gymnochlora stellata. RNAcentral's name for it is "SSU rRNA". It matches the Rfam family "Eukaryotic small subunit ribosomal RNA". The record is from RNAcentral. Lineage: Eukaryota; Cercozoa; Chlorarachniophyceae.